RNAcentral lists this ribosomal RNA (376 nucleotides) under uncultured bacterium. RNAcentral describes it as "bacterial SSU rRNA". It matches the Rfam family "Bacterial small subunit ribosomal RNA", at positions 524 to 898 of the family's 1533-position model. The record is from RNAcentral.
UACGUAGGAUGCAAGCGUUGUUCGGAAUUACUGGGCGUAAAGAGUACGUAGGCGGCAAUGAAAGUCUGAUAUUAAAGACUGGGGCUUAACCUCAGGAGUGUAUCGGAAACUUCAUAGCUAGAGGACAGUAGAGGAAGUCGGAAUUCCCAGUGUAGCGGUGAAAUGCGUAGAUAUUGGGAGGAACACCAGUGGCGAAAGCGGACUUCUGGGCUGUUACUGACGCUGAGGUACGAAAGUGUGGGGAGCAAACAGGAUUAGAUACCCUGGUAGUCCACACGGUAAACGAUGGAUACUAGGUGUAACCGGCUUCGACCCCGGUUGUGCCGCAGCUAACGCAUUAAGUAUCCCGCCUGGGGAGUAUGGCCGCAAGGUUGAA